RNAcentral lists this unclassified non-coding RNA (326 nucleotides) under soil metagenome. RNAcentral's name for it is "partial contains 5.8S ribosomal RNA, internal transcribed spacer 2, and large subunit ribosomal RNA". The stretch from base 1 to 120 matches the Rfam family "5.8S ribosomal RNA", at positions 35 to 154 of the family's 154-position model. The record is from RNAcentral.
GAUGAAGAACGCAGCGAAAUGCGAUAAGUAGUGUGAAUUGCAGAAUUUAGUGAAUCAUCGAAUCUUUGAACGCACAUUGCGCCCUAUAGUAUUCUGUAGGGCAUGCCUGUUCGAGCGUUAUUGAGACCUCAAGCUCUGCUUGGAAAUGGGCGCUUGUCUUGCCUUGCAGACUCGCCUUAAAACCAUUGGCAGCUGAUUUACAAUGUUUGGUGCACAGUACAUGAGCCCAAGUGUUGCAAUGAGUGGCCCAAAAGUAUACAAUAGAAGCUUAACCUCGGAUCAGGUAGAGAUACCCGCUGAACUUAAGCAUAUCAAUAAGCGGAGGA